This 246-nucleotide ribosomal RNA is filed under the name uncultured Verrucomicrobium sp. RNAcentral describes it as "partial 16S ribosomal RNA". It matches the Rfam family "Bacterial small subunit ribosomal RNA", at positions 796 to 1041 of the family's 1533-position model. Lineage: Bacteria; Pseudomonadati; Verrucomicrobiota; Verrucomicrobiia; Verrucomicrobiales; Verrucomicrobiaceae. The record is from RNAcentral.
CCGACCGUAAACGGUGCACACUGGGCGUGGGGGGUUUUCACCCCCCCCGUGCCGCAGCCAACGUGUUAAGUGUGCCGCCUGGGGAGUACGGCCGCAAGGCUAAAACUCAAAGAAAUUGACGGGGGCCCGCACAAGCGGAGGAGCAUGUGGCUUAAUUCGAUGCAACGCGAAGAACCUUACCCGGGUUUGACAUGUGACUGCACGUCCCGUGAAAGCGGGAUUCCUUCGAGGGUGUCACACAGGUGC